Molecule: long non-coding RNA, 1456 nt
Filed under: Oryctolagus cuniculus (rabbit)
Lineage: Eukaryota; Metazoa; Chordata; Mammalia; Lagomorpha; Leporidae
Description: lncRNA (ENSOCUG00000039220.1)
Source: RNAcentral
CAAACUCAUGUACCUAUACCCUAUACCACAAAAACAGACAGAAACCUGGAAACUUUUCUCUUUUUUGUUUCUGAACUUUUAAUAGAUAAUAGUAAGCUAUAUCUAAGUUGCCCAUGAUUCAGAACAUGACUUUCUGAUGAAAAGAUGAUGAAACAGACAGGCAAGGUGGGCAGAAACAAAUUGGAAUGCUCAGCUACUCAGAGAAUGAAUUUAAUGAGCCUAACACUUUUUCUUUGAUUCUGCAGACUACACUUUCAGCUGAUGCAAGGGUUGGACACUUUGCUUUUCUCUUCAAUACAACAAGGUUCUGUAACUCUGGCACAUGGAAGAUGCUCAAUAAAUAUUUUUAACAAGUGAGUAAAAAUUAAAAUUAGCUCAUUGUGGAUUGUCUUCUUCAUAACCAAUACUGUUGCAUCUCUCUCUUAACAUAAGGUAAUAAUGACCACAUUUGUAUAACAGGGAUUAAACAUACAUAUCAACAGCAGCCAUUUUCUCAUUGUGUUUUGUAUGCAUGUACCAGUGCUUUUUCAGAGAUGCACAGUGCAAGUAAUAGAAUUAGGGGUUAUAUACAUUGAAAAAUGACUAUUAUCCAUUGCUAUGCAGUGUUGAAAGCAUGUAGCCUUUUUUUCUUAAAAGAUAAUAUUAAUGUAUGUACUUAAUGGAAAUUUGUUUCUUCAGAAUAAGGUCCUGUUAGUGCAGGUGGAUGCCUAAAUAGAAGCUACAGUUUCCUGCUUGAAUAUCUCCUCACUUGCUUUCAGGAAAGACAGUAAGUUAGAGCAGUUAGGGAUAUUAAUUCCAUGUUGCAGCAGCCUUCUGUCUGUGCUGACUCUGUGGCUCUCAAAGCUUUCUUUUAUGUAGGAUAGAGGAGACAGGGAGCUUUGGUUGAAAUUUAUUAAUAUUCUUUUUUCUUUGCUAGAAAUCAGCUGUAGCUGGAUGGUACAAUGGAGGAGAGUUAGUGGACAGCAGAACCUAUGAGGGCGAGGCGAUGCUGCUCUGAGAGGCAUGCUACUAAAUGAAGUUCAGGUUAUCAUUGCACCCAUCAGCACUCUGGAAAUGAAGCUAGAUUUAAGGGGUGCCUUUAGCUAGUUUGAAUGAAUGGAAUACAUAUGAUCUCUUUUUCAUAUUUUGUUUUAUAUGUUGUAUAUUCAGAAGUUGUGUGUUUCUUAGGAAAUAUGCCUUUGGAUUUCAGGGGAUUUAUUUGCUUAGUGCUAUUCCACAGCACAUGAUGUGUUUUCCUUUUAGAGACAAUGGCAGUGCUUGCUACAUUUUAUUAUUAUUGCUUUGUUGAUGUGCUUGGUUCAAAUUCCAAAAACAAAUGCAAUUAUUGCCUUCCAACUUUAUUUUUAGCUUCUUAAGAUUGAGUCUGCCUCUUGCCUAAAGCUACCUUUCAGUGUACAGGUUUAUAUAAUAUUAAAAAAGAAAUAAAGCCAAAAAUCUCCUUAUAAUAUUCUGGGAG